UUUUGGAGGGAAAGAAUUUGGAGAGGCUUUUCUCAAAAGAGAAUAACUCAAUCCAUAUUGGGUUAACUGAUUAAAAAAAAAAAAAAAAACUUUUUUCUGGAUUAUUCAGCUAUUUAAAUAUUUAAACAGAUAUAUGGACCAAUACUAGAAAAUCGAGUAUACAGAAGGAGAACAAUUAGGGACAUCCAAGUAAUCUACCAAAAGCCUACUGAACUUAGGAGGAAACGACUCGAGUUGGUAUACCACGUCUAGAGAUCAAACGGUCUUUUGAAGAAAGGCUUGGUUUGGAGGUUAAAUGGAAAAAUACUCAUUAGCGUUGGGUAGAAACAGUAAAUUUAAGUAAAUUAAGUAGAAUCAAAUGUACCCAGGAAGUAAUAAUAAGAAGAUAACGCAGAAAGAGACAAACGGAGGAGUGUAGUUUAGAUAGUGCGGAUAUUACAAGGACUGUGAAAGUUUAAAAAGUAGAAGAAAAAUAUGUUAAUUUUUUCGACUUACUGGGAUGAGUUUCGGUUAUCAAUAGUUGUCCCUUCCCUCACUUUGUAUCCGAUUGUGCCAUCGAAAAUUUCCGCUGACUGGUUUACCUUUACCGAAUAAUCCAAGUUGUCGCAAA
Molecule: non-coding RNA, 610 nt
Organism: Cinara cedri
Lineage: Eukaryota; Metazoa; Arthropoda; Insecta; Hemiptera; Aphididae
Source: the annotation of a GenBank genome assembly